Long non-coding RNA from Olea europaea var. sylvestris, 257 nucleotides. RefSeq lists it as uncharacterized. The transcript is spliced from 3 exons. NCBI's taxonomy places the organism in Eukaryota, Viridiplantae, Streptophyta, Magnoliopsida, Lamiales, Oleaceae. The record is from RefSeq and is a predicted model, not a curated record.
UUGAAAAAAAAAAUAAAUAAAUCCCCUUUUUUCACGCCUGAUUUCGCCCUUGCCACCCCCAACGGCCAAGCACAAACCUUCAAAUUGAGUAAACUAGGGUUUUGAAUUCAGAUUUCAAUUCCAAUGGCAUCAAACGAUCAUCUCGACGACGACGAUGAUUUUGGAGGCGAUUUCUCAGGAGGCAACAGCUCGAGGCGGCCAGCUAAUAAGAGAAGCUUUGGAGAUCUUGACGAUGAUGAAGACGAUAUUUUUGGUUC